GAUAAAAUGGCUGAGAAAAAUAGGCGAUAAACUGUAAAUUUAUUUAGGGAAAGAAUAUUCCUUUUAUCA
This 69-nucleotide transfer RNA is filed under the name Gryllotalpa unispina. Its description in RNAcentral is "tRNA-Tyr". RNAcentral also lists the same sequence under 1 other name. Lineage: Eukaryota; Metazoa; Arthropoda; Insecta; Orthoptera; Gryllotalpidae. The record is from RNAcentral.